UAACCAUUCUCAAGCUACAUAAUUCUCAGGAAGAGUGUAGCAUGGAACUGAGUGUUCCCGGUAUGAGUGCCUCGGCGCUGUAACUGGGAGACUUGAAACUGAUCUCGCGGGAGCAGUGGUCAUUAAGGAUCAGCUCGUUGCAGGUGUACUAGUUGGAGGCGUCGCAAGGCGUUUUCAUUCUUAGCACCAAUACGUAACGUUCAGAUCUGACAACUGUCACCGACGAACGCAGGAACUUGGACGACGGCGCAAGCCUGACUCUUAAU
This 266-nucleotide unclassified non-coding RNA is filed under the name uncultured Basidiobolus. Its description in RNAcentral is "sequence contains ITS2". Lineage: Eukaryota; Fungi; Basidiobolomycota; Basidiobolomycetes; Basidiobolales; Basidiobolaceae. The record is from RNAcentral.